RNAcentral lists this ribosomal RNA (253 nucleotides) under uncultured bacterium. Its description in RNAcentral is "partial 16S ribosomal RNA". It matches the Rfam family "Bacterial small subunit ribosomal RNA", at positions 524 to 776 of the family's 1533-position model. The record is from RNAcentral.
UACAGAGGUCUCAAGCGUUGUUCGGAUUCAUUGGGCGUAAAGGGCGCGUAGGCGGCCGACCAAGUCGGAGGUGAAAUCCCUCGGCUCAACUGAGGAACUGCCUCCGAUACUGUUCGGCUUGAGUCCCGGAGAGGGUAGUGGAAUUCCGAGUGUAGCGGUGAAAUGCGUAGAUAUUGGGAGGAACACCAGUGGCGAAGGCGGCUCACUGGACCGGAACUGACGCUGAGGCGCGAAAGCGUGGGGAGCAAACAGG